Molecule: ribosomal RNA, 397 nt
Filed under: uncultured bacterium
Lineage: Bacteria
Description: bacterial SSU rRNA
Rfam family: Bacterial small subunit ribosomal RNA
Source: RNAcentral
GAAUAUUGGACAAUGGGCGAAAGCCUGAUCCAGCCAUGCCGCGUGAGUGAUGAAGGCCCUAGGGUUGUAAAGCUCUUUCGGCGGGGACGAUAAUGACGGUACCCGCCGAAGAAGCCCCGGCUAACUUCGUGCCAGCAGCCGCGGUAAUACGAAGGGGGCUAGCGUUGCUCGGAAUCACUGGGCGUAAAGGGCGCGUAGGCGGAUCUUUAAGUCAGAGGUGAAAGCCCAAGGCUCAACCUUGGAAUUGCCUUUGAUACUGAAGAUCUUGAGACCGGUAGAGGUAAGUGGAACUGCGAGUGUAGAGGUGAAAUUCGUAGAUAUUCGCAAGAACACCAGUGGCGAAGGCGGCUUACUGGACCGGUUCUGACGCUGAGGCGCGAAAGCGUGGGGAGCAAAC